RNAcentral lists this microRNA precursor (84 nucleotides) under Alligator mississippiensis (American alligator). Its description in RNAcentral is "mir-22 microRNA precursor family". It matches the Rfam family "mir-22 microRNA precursor family". Lineage: Eukaryota; Metazoa; Chordata; Crocodylia; Alligatoridae. The record is from Rfam by way of RNAcentral.
GGCCGCCCCGCAGCAGUUCUUCAGUGGCAUGCUUUACGUCGUGUGCCAGCUAAAGCUGCCAGUUGAAGAACUGUUGACCGUGGC